CUUGGUCAUUUAGAGGAAGUAAAAGUCGUAACAAGGUUUCCGUAGGUGAACCUGCGGAAGGAUCAUUAGUGAACGCCCUCACGGGCUUAUAACUAUUCCAAACCUCUGUGAACCGUGCCCUUCGGGGCUAUUUUACAAACAUGGUGUAAUGAACGUCAUAUAUCAUAACAAAACAAAACUUUCAACAACGGAUCUCUUGGCUCUCGCAUCGAUGAAGAACGCAGCGAAAUGCGAUAAGUAAUGUGAAUUGCAGAAUUCAGUGAAUCAUCGAAUCUUUGAACGCACCUUGCGCCCUCUGGUAUUCCGGAGGGCAUGCCUGUUUGAGUGUCAUGUAGACUCAAUCCCUCGGGUUUCCGAGGAGAUUGGACUUGGGUGUUGCCGCUCUGCCGGCUCGCCUUAAAAGACUUAGCGGGAUAGCACCGUAGUCGGCGUAAUAAGUUUCGCCGGUGAAGGUUGUGAUGACUGCUUACAAUCGCCCUCGGGCAAUUUUUGACUCUGACCUCAAAUCAGGUAGGACUACCCGCUGAACUUAAGCAUAUCAAUAAGCGGAGGAA
This 554-nucleotide ribosomal RNA is filed under the name uncultured fungus. Its description in RNAcentral is "eukaryotic LSU rRNA". The stretch from base 177 to 330 matches the Rfam family "5.8S ribosomal RNA". The record is from RNAcentral. Lineage: Eukaryota; Fungi.